GAUGAACGCUGGCGGCGUGCCCAAUACAUGCAAGUCGAGCGAACGGACUCGAGGCUUGCUUUUCUGAUGUUAGCCGCGCACGUGUGAGUAACACGUGCAUAACCUACCUAUAAGACUGGGAUACCUUCGGGAAACCGGCGCUAAUUCCGGAUAAUAUUUUUCACCGCAUGGUUCAACAGUGAAAUACGUUCUUGCUGUCUCUUCUCGCUGGCUCCGCGCUGCAUUAGAUAGUUGUUAAGGUAACGGCUUACCAAGGCAACGAUGCAUAGCCGACCUGGGAGGGGGAUAGGCGACACUGGAGCGGAGACACGGACAAGACGCCUAAGGGAGGCAGCAGUAGGGAAUGGGCGGCAAUGGGCGAAAGUAUGACGGAGCAACGGAGCGUGAGUGAUGAAGGUCUUGGGAUAGUAAAACUGGGUUACGAGGGAAGAACAUAUGUGUAAAUAAAAGUGGACAUCGUGACGGUACCUAAACAGAAAGCCACGGCUAACUACGUG
This 497-nucleotide ribosomal RNA is filed under the name uncultured bacterium. RNAcentral describes it as "partial 16S ribosomal RNA". It matches the Rfam family "Bacterial small subunit ribosomal RNA", at positions 28 to 507 of the family's 1533-position model. The record is from RNAcentral.